GCCCUGUUAGCUCAGUUGGCAGAGCAGCUGACUCUUAAUCAGCGGGUCAUAGGUUCGAGUCCUAUACAGGGCA
RNAcentral lists this transfer RNA (73 nucleotides) under Phycisphaerae bacterium. Its description in RNAcentral is "tRNA-Lys". It matches the Rfam family "tRNA". Rfam says of the family: Transfer RNA (tRNA) molecules are approximately 80 nucleotides in length. Their secondary structure includes four short double-helical elements and three loops (D, anti-codon, and T loops). RNAcentral also lists the same sequence under 3 other names. The record is from RNAcentral. Lineage: Bacteria; Pseudomonadati; Planctomycetota; Phycisphaerae.